GGGUCCAUAGCUCAAUAGUAGAGCAUUUGAUUGUAGAUCUAGAGGUGACUGGUUCAAUCUUGGUUAGACCCU
Molecule: transfer RNA, 72 nt
Filed under: Vitis vinifera (wine grape)
Lineage: Eukaryota; Viridiplantae; Streptophyta; Magnoliopsida; Vitales; Vitaceae
Rfam family: tRNA
About the family: Transfer RNA (tRNA) molecules are approximately 80 nucleotides in length. Their secondary structure includes four short double-helical elements and three loops (D, anti-codon, and T loops).
Source: Rfam by way of RNAcentral